UUGGGCUCAGGGUGGUGAAAUGGAUUGAAGGUUAUGGAAUGGAGAGGUUGGCUCUUAAGCCCAAGCUCCAAAUGAACACGGGUCUUAGAAAGCCCAUGUUUCCAUGGAAAGAAAUUCAUCAUGGAACACAAAAGCCUCACUGCAUCUUCACUUUGGUUUGACGCCUCCACCACAUGAACGUCAAGAAAAAUUUCAAGAGAACUCAACUUCAUCGUUGCGCUUCUCUCGUUCUCAAAGAAACAACAAAUUUCAGGCAAAAGAAAACAUGAAGAAGUCAGCUCCAAACACACGCCAACAAUCCCUCUAUUGCUUCCAUCGAUUUCAUUUUCAUCAUCCGCCAAAUCGAAACUGAAUUGCCCAAUCCAAAGAAAUCGCAUUCGCGGAUUAAAGACACAAGAAUGAGUAGAGAAACCUACCGGAUUGGUGAUCAUACGCGACGACUCAGAUGAUAAAUUCGUUUGAUCCUCUUUCCUUAUCUUCUUUUUCUAUCCGGCUUCUGAUGCGUGAUUCUUUUUGUGUUGAGUUUGGUUGCGUUUUCCUGUUUUCUGCUUCUAUUUUCUGCUUGAAUUUUCUUCAUCUGUUUCUGUUUUUCCGUGAUGUUCCUCCUCUUUUGUUAGAUGUUGCUGUCCUUCAUGGCCAGAAUCGUUAGGGGAUUGAAGAGUUAGGUUUCUUAAAGGUUGAGGUUUAACGGUGUUUGAAGGUUGUUGAGGUUCUGUUAGAAGGUUUUUUUUCCAGUAGAGUUAUGCUGGAAUUGCUUCAGUGAAGAGGGAUUUUUUGUGGAGGGUCGUGGAAGUUUUUGAGGGUCGUUGAAGAUGGUUGCUUUUGGAUUCUGCCGAGUUGAGGAGGAGAGUUAUGCAGGGUUUGUGAGGGUUAUUGGAAUCGAAGAGAGUAGAGAGGUACCAAGGGAGGUGAUUUCUGCUUGGUUCUGAAAUGUGUUGUUGAAGAGUUUUUUUUGGAAGAAGGUUGGUUCUGGAAGUAUUGGUGGAGUCCGUUUGUUAGAGGCUAUGGGAGUGAUUGAAGAGGUUUUGGAAGGAGAUUGGUUAUAGAUUUCUGUUGAGGGGUUUCGGUUCUGUUAUGUUUUGUUGUUAGAAUCAAUUUUUGGAGAAGUUGUUGUUAUGAACAAAGAGUGCAGAAAUUUAGUUUUGGCAUUAUGUUAUGACAGUUGGUUGAAGCAGUUAGGGGGUUGUUCUGUUAGGUGAUUCCAGUUCUGUUAUGACAGGUCGCCUUGUUGGUUGAAAUUCAGCUAGUAACAGUUGGAGGGUUUCGGUUGCAGUUCUGUUAUAUCAGUUGGUUUGGUUUAUGGACAUGAAAAAGUGGAAAUCAAGGCAUGACUUACACUCGAAGAAAGUGAUGAAAGUUUGGGUCAUUGUUCAUGGAACUAAAUGUAUUUGGACUUGUCAUGUUUUCUUUUUGUUGUAAAUUUAUAGUUUGAAGUUGAAUGAAAGGUUUGUAUGUAAUUAGAGUUCAAAAUGUAUGUGUAUGGUUUAUGCAUGGACUUGGAGUUUUGGAAAUUGGUUUCAAAAUGGUUUUAAUUUGUGAAUGUAAAGUCACUUGGUAAUGGAUGGUUUACAAUGAACAUAAUUAUGGUUUGUA
This is a long non-coding RNA of Lathyrus oleraceus (garden pea), 1593 nucleotides long. RefSeq lists it as uncharacterized. The transcript has 2 exons. The record is from RefSeq and is a predicted model, not a curated record. NCBI's taxonomy places the organism in Eukaryota, Viridiplantae, Streptophyta, Magnoliopsida, Fabales, Fabaceae.